Molecule: long non-coding RNA, 211 nt
Organism: Alosa alosa (allis shad)
Lineage: Eukaryota; Metazoa; Chordata; Actinopteri; Clupeiformes; Clupeidae
Exons: 3
Source: RefSeq, a predicted model, not a curated record
UGUUUCAUUCGUCCCUCCUGGUUGGGACAGUUGAAACAACAUAAGGGGACGAAUGAAACAUACCGUUUAAGCCAUAUACACGUCCAACAACUUCGACAUUUUACUACAUAUCAUGAAUGAACGAGGUGAGCAGAGCAGAGGAGGAUCCCUCACCGUUGACGACACAGGCUCCUGGAACUCCGGGCUCAGCUCAUGGCAGAAGAGAUAGAGC